RNAcentral lists this ribosomal RNA (28 nucleotides) under Deiregyne diaphana. RNAcentral describes it as "partial 26S ribosomal RNA". The record is from RNAcentral. RNAcentral also lists the same sequence under 1 other name. Lineage: Eukaryota; Viridiplantae; Streptophyta; Magnoliopsida; Asparagales; Orchidaceae.
CGACCCCAGGAUGGGCGGGAUGACCCGC